CGUAAGAAGACGCUUGGCGUUGUCGUGGAGCUUUGAGGAACUAUUUGCGAUGUAAACAUGUUUAUAGUAAUGGGCUUGUCGGGCAGUUAUGUUAGUAUGCAUACACUACUUGAUGUAUGUCACUAGUUAUAUACAUGUAGCGCUUAAAAUGCGAUUAUUACUAUGGGCUAUUUCGAUCAUCACAUUUCAUCUCGGGACUCUAAUACUACCAACAGGAGCAUGCUUCAGUAGAAACUAUGGCGAUGAAGCUCAUGAACCUGUCGUCCUGAUGGCCAAUGAUGAACCUCAAACAUUAACAUCUCCAGGAUACCCUAAUUCAUACCCACCGAGCUGUUUCCAGGAAGUCUCCUGAUGUGUUUUUAUGUGCCCAGGACAAGACAGUGUUCUUCAGCAAUGGGCGAGAAGCAACCAUUGUCUUUGUAACAAAUGAGCUUGGUUCAGGGAGAGGCUUCUUGUUAGAAUAUAAUCAGAUUGCUACACUGGAAGAAAAGUCGGAUCCUGUGCCAAUUUUUGUCGGAGUGUUUGGAUUCUUAGCGGUCAUAAUGUUCGUAGUUUGCUGUUAUGUGUUCGAUAGAAGACGAGCUGACCGCAGGUCCCAACGGAUGCCACAACCUCGUGCUCUACGGUCUCAUUAUCCAAGACCUCCGACCAGAGACUUGGCAAGCCCUUUCCUCCGAAACAAUAGUACGACUGAAACUAACGAUACAUCUGGUAAUGCAAGGAGUACAAGUAACUCCAGGAACACUAAUAACCUACCACCAACAUACCAGGAAGUGUAUGUUGGACCUUCACCUGACACUGAUCGCAGAUCAUCUGCCCCUCCGAUGGCAUUACCCCCAAGUUAUGAAGAUGCAGUUAGCAAGGGGAUGAUUCUUGGUGAUAGAGAAACAACGCUUUGAUGUCACUUGUAGACAAACAUUUUGUCUAAAAAUGACAAUAUUUAAAGAAAAAUAUUUAGGUGUUGUUGACCUGACACUGUUGCUUGUGAUGUUUCAGAGUAAGCUAUGUUGACCUGACCAUGUUGUUGCUGAUGUUUCAGAGUAAGCUAUGUUGACCUGACCGUGUUGUUGCUGAUGUUUCAGAGUAAGCUAUGUUGACCUGACCGUGUUGCGAGUGAUGUUUCAGAGUAACCUAUGUUGAUCUGACCGUGUUGUUGCUGAUGUUUCAGAGUAAGCUAUGUUGACCUGACCGUGUUGUUGCUUGUGAUGUUUCAGAGUAACCUAUGUUGACCUGACAGUGUUGUUGCUGAGGUUUCAGAGUAAGCUAUGUUGACCUGACCGUGUUGUUGUUGCUGAUGUUUCAGAGUAAGUUAUGUUGACCUGACCGUGUUGCGAGUGAUGUUUCAGAGUAACCUAUGUUGAUCUGACCGUGUUGUUGCUGAUGUUUCAGAGUAAGCUAUGUUGACCUGACCGUGUUGUUGCUUGUGAUGUUUCAGAGUAACCUAUGUUGACCUGACAGUGUUGUUGCUGAGGUUUCAGAGUAAGCUAUGUUGACCUGACCGUGUUGUUGUUGCUGAUGUUUCAGAGUAAGCUAUGUUGAUCUGACCGUGUUGCUUGUGAUGUUUCAGAGUAAGCUAUGUUGAUCUGACCGUGUUGCUUGUGAUGUUUCAGAGUAAGCUAUGUUGACCUGACCGUGUUGUUGCUUGUGAUGUUUCAGAGUAAGCUAUGUUGACCUGACCGUGUUGUUGCUGAGGUUUCAGAGUAAGCUAUGUUGACCUGACAGUGUUGCUUGUGAUGUUUCAGAGUAAGCUAUGUUGACCUGACCGUGUUGCUAGUGAUGUUUCAGAGUAACCUAUGUUGACCUGACCGUGUUGUUGUUGCUGAUGUUUCACAGUAACCUAUGUUGACCUGACAGUGUUGUUGUUGAUGUUUCAGAGUAACCUAUGUUGACCUGACAUUGAUGUUGCUGAGGUUUCAGAGUAAGCUAUGAUGACCUGACAGUGUUGCUGCGAGUGAUGUUUCAGAGUAACCUAUGUUGACCUGACAGUGUUGUUGAUGUUUCAGAGUAAGCUAUGUUGACCUGACAGUGUUGUUGUUGAUGUUUCAGAGUAAGCUAUGUUGACCUGACAGUGUUGUUGUUGAUGUUUCAGAGUAAGCUAUGUUGACCUGACAGUGUUGUUGCUGAUGUUUCACAGUAACCUAUGUUGACCUGACCAGGGUUAAAAAACUAACAGUUUUUGUCCACUAGUCCUUAUAAUGAUAACAUAUAGCAAAACCCUUAAAAUGGGCCAAUUUCUACUAGUCCUUAGGAUACCUUUACUAUUGGGCAGUUUGGUAAGGACUAUAGGACUAGUGCCAAUUUCUGCUGCUGACAGUGUUGUUGCGAGUGAUGUUUCACAGUAACCUAUGUUGACCUGACAGUGUUGUUGUUGAUGAUCACAGUAAGCUAUGUUGACCUGACCGUGUUGUUGAGCUUGAUGUUACACAGUAACCUAUGUUGACCUGACAGUGUUGUUGUUGAUGAUCACAGUAAGCUAUGUUGACCUGACCGUGUUGUUGAGCUUCAUGUUACACAGUAACCUAUGUUGACCUGACAGUGUUGUUGUUGAUGUUUCAGAGUAACCUAUGUUGACCUGACAGUGUUGUUGCUGAGGUUUCAGAGUAACCUAUGUUGACCUGACAGUGUUGUUGCAAGUGAUGUUUCACAGUAACCUAUGUUGACCUGACAGUGCUGUUGUUGAUGUUUCAGAGGAACCUAUGUUGACCUGACCGCGUUGUUGCGAGUGAUGUUUCACAGUAAUAUGUUGAAUUGACAGUCUUGUUGUUGAUGUUUCAGAGUAACCUAUGUUGACCUGACCGUAUUGUUACUGAUUUUUCAGAGUAAGCUAUGUUGACCUGGCUGUGUUGUUUCUGAUGUUUCAGAGUAAGCUAUGUUGACCUGACCGUGUUGUUUCUGAUGUUUCAGAGUAAGCUAUGUUGACCUGACCAUGUUGUUGCUGAUGUUUCAGAAUAACUGAGCUGAGCUGCCAAUGUUGACCAUGAAUUUAGUUUCUAUGGAUAGAGGCAAUAUAUUACUUGUGAUCUAGAUCAAUGAAUAGCAUUUAUUAGCACUUACUAGGACAUUUAAUAGAACAUUUCAUAGCACUUUGUUUUGUAUAGCUUGACAAUCAUGAUUUCCUGUCUGCCACAAGGUCCAUCAAUGGGCAGUACUAUGUCACAGAACUGCAUCAGUUGAGAGAAGCUAUCAAGGAAAUAGGAGGAGUGCUACUGCUUCGGAGAGGUGAGCCUGUAUACAGAUUACAAGUGGCAUCAGUUGCAGCUGCAGAUUGUGACUUUGAGUUGCUUCUCCCAACCAAAAUACAAUGAUAGAGUAACAAGAUGAUUGCCACCAUCAAGGCAUCUUAGGUAGAUGGAGACUUCUACAGGACAGUGAUACCAAAACUGGAGCUUCACUGGAAUAAGUGUAUUGAAGUCAAAGGAGAUUAUAUUUAAAAAGAAUGCAAUUGAUUUUGCAAUUAACUUUUUCUGAGGAUACAUUCCUUGCUUAAAAGUAAUGUUUUCACUGCCUCCUGACUAGUCAUAAAAUUCAAUCAACGUUUAUAUCAGUGCAUACAUGGUAGCAAAAUAUUGAUGCUGACAAAACCUUGAAUGGCGGCUUCUUUCAUGUGUACAAGCUGUUACAUGAAUGUUCUAUUCAGUUGUCAGUUAAGUUACUUUGACAUGACAUAGUUUGUGGCAGCCUUACAUUGAUAUAGAGCUGAAGUCUCUACAUGCAUCUUGAAGCUCAAUCAUGUCCUUAUAAGAUAUAUUACUAUGCCAAGAAAAUGUUGAGGUUCUUUAUGAAAAUAAAGACUGGUGGGAGUAAAAUGUGUAUGUUAUUGUAUGACAGUUUUCAUAUCCUACCCCAUAUCAUCCCAAGAGCCCGAUAUCAGCCCUUAUUAUCCCUCAAAGUGAGAUCGACCAAUCAGAGAGCAGAACUACUAAACCCAUAUGAGCCUGUAUACCUUCAGUAAAUACCCAGGAUGGCUGUCACUGAUCUAAUGUGAGACCUUAUGCAUCAGUAACAGCAAUCUUGGAUUUUCCAACACCCUCCUCACAUAUAUCAUUUGAAAAUUCUGCUACAGAAAUUUGUUAUUUGACCCUGUUUUGUGUCUUUAUAUCAUUAGUUGUGAUGUGCAAGGACAUUAAAAAGAAAUUUAAAUCACGUUCAUGAUUUUAUUGAUAAAGAUAAUAGUUAAAAUAGUUAAAACAUUUCGGCAUAAUAUAUUUGUUAUAGUGUCUUUAUAUGCAGUACAUGGUGACAUAUUAGGUUAGCAGAAUAAUCAUGGCCAGGACUGACAGUUCUCAGACUGAUAUGGGUGGGGGGGGGGGGAAGGUCGAAACUGCCAUAUGAUAACCCUUUUAUCAUCUGGUAAUACCAUAACAUCAAAUUGUAAACUGUAUCUAUUUCUAAGUGAAAGCAAUAUAUUUUCACCUGUUUGGAAGACAGGUUAGCUUGCCAAGCAGACAAGAAAACCGCACACUAAGGGAUGUAACUCCACUUUCUUAACAUCUGAGCUGAUAUCAAUCGCCCAUUCAAAAUACUUUGAAAAGCAUUAUCUGGCUGGCAGGGGGUGUAAUACCGUCGGGUUAUUGCUUCCCCCUCUAUGUGAGCUCUAUCACACAUGCAAAAUGCCUUAUAUCAUUGAUAUGUGUAUGAUAAUUUCAUUUAUCAUCCAAGACUGGCUUCCACAGGAGAUAUCACUUGGGUGAGAUGUUGCAAUGAAAUGGCAUCACAAUUCUUUGAAGACCAUUGAGACUUGACAUCACAAUCAAAUAACAUCACAAGUCUCUCUGCCACUGAAGAUGGUUAGCUGUACCUCUUACUUAUAUCACUGUUUUCAAAAUGAAAAAUUUUGAAGAAUGAUUUUGUGUGAUAAGUAGAAUCUUACCCUCAUGUCUUUUUAUGUCAAAUAUAUCAACACUGGUCAAUAUAACCUUUAUCGACAAACAUCGAUAUUUGAUAUCAAAAGACAUGUGGGUAAUAUUUUCUCGUUCACUUUAUUAUAGUUGUUUAGGUAUUGCUAUUUCUUUUUUUAAAGUGAACAACUUUGUACUUUUUGUAAGGGUAAACAUCAAGAAUGAUGGGGGCCUAACAGAACUGCUUCUUGGUUAUUGUUUUUGCUCAAUUACACCAAAGAUGUAGUGAGUUACUGUGUGGGACAUUUUGGAGGAUCAUCCAUCCUAUGCCCAUCAUCUUACAUAAUAGAACUAAACUUGUGCUGCAAUCACUAUAUUAUCUGUGUCAUAUUUUAUGAAUUCUCAUUAGUCUGUAAAAACCUCACUUUCUAGAGGGUUAUUGUUGGGUAUGUCUUUAUAUAGAUUAAGGAUAUGCUGCUAUGUACCCAUGAUUUAAUAAUCCAGAAAAUUGUUAUUCUGUGCUCUGGGAUUAAUCCAGUUAGAUUAAUUUGGUUUCACUAUAGUUUGAUAUUAUAAGUGGAUGUUUAGUUCUGUGAAAGGAAUAAAAUUUGAAAGGUUAUCUUAUAUGAAACUAUAUCUCCCAAGAAGUCCCAAUUAGCUCUGAUCUAAGAAUUAGGUAAAGUAAUUUUUUCAAAAAGAUCAGAGUUGAAAUGUUGUGUUGUUUAUGUUUUAAAAGUUUUGCACCAAAGUUAUACAAUAUUACAUUUUACCUUUAUUGUAGUAGAUUAAGAAACAUUGUUGAAAUUUCGUUACUUGUUUCGUCAAGUGUUUAUGCAGAAUGUGUUUACUUUAAGUGUUUGUCCUCGUUGACUUUUUAUACUGUUGACUGCAUAUUUGCUUGCUCUAUAUUUAAUACUUUAAACACUGACCCACACAAUUUGUGUAAGGUUACAUGACCUUUCAUAAUGUAUCUUAUUUAUUCCUAAUGGUGCUACAAAGCAUGACUAUGUAUAACAUUUUGCUUUCAGAUUUUUUAUUGUUGUUUUGACCUGUGUAUGUAUUGUUUCCAUAUUUUUUUAUAUAUACUCCUUAGAUUCCUGCAUUCUCUUUAUACAUACCAUUUUGCAAUAUCUAACCAAAUGUCAUUAAAAUAUCAUCUUUUGA
Molecule: unclassified non-coding RNA, 6002 nt
Filed under: Haliotis rufescens (red abalone)
Lineage: Eukaryota; Metazoa; Mollusca; Gastropoda; Lepetellida; Haliotidae
Description: uncharacterized LOC124135765, transcript variant X1
Source: RNAcentral